CCCGCCGGACCUGACUGCUAUCGGAUUGAUACUAAGCCAUGCGAGUCAUUGUAGUAAUACAAGGCAGACGGCUCAGUAACGCGUAGUCAACCUACCCUGUGGACGGGGAUAACCUCGGGAAACUGAGAAUAAUACCCGAUAGAACAUUAUGCCUGGAAUGGUUUAUGUUUCAAAUAAUUUAUUGCCGUAGGAUGGGACUGCGUCCUAUCAGUUUGUUGGUGUGGUAAUGGCCCACCAAGACUAUUACAGGUACGGGCUCUGAGAGGAGUAGCCCGGAGAUGGGUACUGAGACACGGACCCAGGCCCUAUGGGGCGCAGCAGGCGAGAAAACUUUGCAAUGUGCGAAAGCACGACAAGGUUAAUCCGAGUGGUUUCUGCUAAAGGAACCUUUUGUCAGUCCUAGAAACACUGAUGAAUAAGGGGUGGGCAAGUUUCUGGGUGUCAGCCGCCCGCGGUAAAACCCAGCACCUCAAAGUGGUCAGGGAUGAUUAUUGGGCCUAAAGCAUCCGUAGCCUGCUUUGUAAGUUUUCGGUUAAAUCCAUACGCUCAACGUAUGGGCUGCCGGGAAUACUGCAAAGCUGGGGAGUGGGAGAGGUAGACGGUACUCGGUAGGAAGGGGUAAAAUCCUUUGAUCUAUUGAUGACCACCUGUGGCGAAGGCGGUCUACCAGAACACGUCCGACGGUGAGGGAUGAAAGCUGGGGGAGCAAACCGGAUUAGAUACCCGGGUAGUCCCAGCUGUAAACUAUGCAAACUCAGUGAUGCAUUGGCUUGAUGCCAAUGCAGUGCUGCAGGGAAGCCGUUAAGUUCGCCGCCUGGGAAGUACGUACGCAAGUAUGAAACUUAAAGGAAUUGGCGGGGGAGCACCACAAGGGGUGAAGCCUGCGGUUCAAUUGGAGUCAACGCCGGG
This 909-nucleotide ribosomal RNA is filed under the name uncultured archaeon. Its description in RNAcentral is "bacterial SSU rRNA". It matches the Rfam family "Archaeal small subunit ribosomal RNA", at positions 13 to 922 of the family's 1478-position model. The record is from RNAcentral.